RNAcentral lists this ribosomal RNA (1029 nucleotides) under Salmonella enterica subsp. enterica. RNAcentral describes it as "partial 23S ribosomal RNA". It matches the Rfam family "Bacterial large subunit ribosomal RNA", at positions 1129 to 2141 of the family's 2925-position model. Lineage: Bacteria; Pseudomonadati; Pseudomonadota; Gammaproteobacteria; Enterobacterales; Enterobacteriaceae. The record is from RNAcentral.
AAAGCGUAAUAGCUCACUGGUCGAGUCGGCCUGCGCGGAAGAUGUAACGGGGCUAAACCAUGCACCGAAGCUGCGGCAGCGACACUGUGUGUUGUUGGGUAGGGGAGCGUUCUGUAAGCCUGUGAAGGUGGCCUGUGAGGGUUGCUGGAGGUAUCAGAAGUGCGAAUGCUGACAUAAGUAACGAUAAAGCGGGUGAAAAGCCCGCUCGCCGGAAGACCAAGGGUUCCUGUCCAACGUUAAUCGGGGCAGGGUGAGUCGACCCCUAAGGCGAGGCCGAAAGGCGUAGUCGAUGGGAAACGGGUUAAUAUUCCCGUACUUGGUGUUACUGCGAAGGGGGGACGGAGAAGGCUAUGUUGGCCGGGCGACGGUUGUCCCGGUUUAAGCGUGUAGGUGUGUGUUCCAGGUAAAUCCGGUUCACUUUAACACUGAGGCGUGACGACGAGGCACUACGGUGCUGAAGCAACAAAUGCCCUGCUUCCAGGAAAAGCCUCUAAGCAUCAGGUAACAUCAAAUCGUACCCCAAACCGACACAGGUGGUCAGGUAGAGAAUACCAAGGCGCUUGAGAGAACUCGGGUGAAGGAACUAGGCAAAAUGGUGCCGUAACUUCGGGAGAAGGCACGCUGACACGUAGGUGAAGUGAUUUACUCAUGGAGCUGAAGUCAGUCGAAGAUACCAGCUGGCUGCAACUGUUUAUUAAAAACACAGCACUGUGCAAACACGAAAGUGGACGUAUACGGUGUGACGCCUGCCCGGUGCCGGAAGGUUAAUUGAUGGGGUCAGCGCAAGCGAAGCUCCUGAUCGAAGCCCCGGUAAACGGCGGCCGUAACUAUAACGGUCCUAAGGUAGCGAAAUUCCUUGUCGGGUAAGUUCCGACCUGCACGAAUGGCGUAAUGAUGGCCAGGCUGUCUCCACCCGAGACUCAGUGAAAUUGAACUCGCUGUGAAGAUGCAGUGUACCCGCGGCAAGACGGAAAGACCCCGUGAACCUUUACUAUAGCUUGACACUGAACAUUGAGCCUUGAUGUGUAG